This 253-nucleotide ribosomal RNA is filed under the name uncultured bacterium. RNAcentral describes it as "partial 16S ribosomal RNA". It matches the Rfam family "Bacterial small subunit ribosomal RNA", at positions 524 to 776 of the family's 1533-position model. The record is from RNAcentral.
UACAGAGGGGGCAAGCGUUAUUCGGAAUUAUUGGGCGUAAAGGGCGCGUAGGCGGCCUGGCAAGUGGAAGGUGAAAUCCCUCGGCUUAACCGAGGAACUGCCCUCCAAACUGCUUGGCUUGAGUCCGGGAGAGGUGAGUGGAAUUCCCAGUGUAGCGGUGAAAUGCGUAGAUAUUGGGAGGAACACCAGUGGUGAAGGCGGCUCACUGGCCCGGUACUGACGCUGAGGUGCGAAAGCGUGGGGAGCAAACAGG